UUUUUUGUUUUAGUAUAAAAAAAAAUUAAAACAUAUAGAACGCCAUGAGUCUUUUAAUAUCUCUGCUUAUCUCUCUUUUAGAUGCCUCAUCACAUACCUCUUAUUGAUACAAAUCUCGAAUACAAGGAAGCAGAAAUACUUACUGUAGUGUCAAAUAUAGAUGACAAACCUUCUGCAGUUGUCAACAGAAAUAAUGGAAUAAAGCUUUCUACUGUAAAAGAAGACCAAACUGAAAAGGAUCUAAUGUCUACACUUUGGGGGAAAUCUUCGAUUUAAGUAUAGGAGGCAAAUUAACUUCCCUGGGAGUGAAAGCAAAGUGAAAACUCGAG
Molecule: non-coding RNA, 329 nt
Organism: Pelobates cultripes (western spadefoot toad)
Lineage: Eukaryota; Metazoa; Chordata; Amphibia; Anura; Pelobatidae
Source: the annotation of a GenBank genome assembly